UCAUGGCUCAGAUUGAACGCUGGCGGCAGGCUUAACACAUGCAAGUCGAACGAUGAAACUCUAGCUUGCUAGAGAUGAUUAGUGGCGGACGGGUGAGUAACAUUUAGGAAUCUGCCUAGUAGUGGGGGAUAGCUCGGGGAAACUCGAAUUAAUACCGCAUACGACCUACGGGUGAAAGGGGGCGCAAGCUCUUGCUAUUAGAUGAGCCUAAAUCAGAUUAGCUAGUUGGUGGGGUAAAGGCCCACCAAGGCGACGAUCUGUAACUGGUCUGAGAGGAUGAUCAGUCACACCGGAACUGAGACACGGUCCGGACUCCUACGGGAGGCAGCAGUGGGGAAUAUUGGACAAUGGGGGCAACCCUGAUCCAGCCAUGCCGCGUGUGUGAAGAAGGCCUUUUGGUUGUAAAGCACUUUAAGCAGGGAGGAGAGGCUAAUGGUUAAUACCCAUUAGAUUAGACGUUACCUGCAGAAUAAGCACCGGCUAACUCUGUGCCAGCAGCCGCGGUAAUACAGAGGGUGCGAGCGUUAAUCGGAAUUACUGGGCGUAAAGCGAGUGUAGGUGGCUCAUUAAGUCACAUGUGAAAUCCCCGGGCUUAACCUGGGAACUGCAUGUGAUACUGGUGGUGCUAGAAUAUGUGAGAGGGAAGUAGAAUUCCAGGUGUAGCGGUGAAAUGCGUAGAGAUCUGGAGGAAUACCGAUGGCGAAGGCAGC
Molecule: ribosomal RNA, 710 nt
Filed under: Faucicola osloensis
Lineage: Bacteria; Pseudomonadati; Pseudomonadota; Gammaproteobacteria; Moraxellales; Moraxellaceae
Description: bacterial SSU rRNA
Rfam family: Bacterial small subunit ribosomal RNA
Source: RNAcentral